Molecule: long non-coding RNA, 403 nt
Filed under: Bos indicus x Bos taurus (hybrid cattle)
Lineage: Eukaryota; Metazoa; Chordata; Mammalia; Artiodactyla; Bovidae
Description: lncRNA (ENSBIXG00005031135.1)
Source: RNAcentral
AAGUGAGAUUUGGGGGCUUAAUUGUUAAUUUUCAUGUAACAAUAUUUCUAUUCUAGAGACUGAUUCCUGGAAAAUGAGAGCUUUCCAAAGAGAUCUAAAGAACAGCUAAUAGCUCCUUCCCUCCGGAUUUCAUUCUGUUUAUAAAUAUUGAAGCUGAAAUGUAAACCACUUUGAAACUCUUCUCCUGAAGGCCUGCAUGUCCUGGACGCUUUUCAAGCACAGACCAAGGCAACUGGGGAAAUAGCAGGAAGCUCUCCUUUUCAUGAUUCCUCUUCCUGCGACCGAAGGCACGACUGGAAAACAAUGCAACCACGACUUGAGAGCUGGAAGAAAGGGGCAGCCUUGAAGGUGAGCAGAGGGGAAAAGAGGCUGGGGAGGAAGUGGAAACAAAGGUAGUCAAAGG